AUACGUAGGGGGCGAGCGUUGUCCGGAAUGAUUGGGCGUAAAGGGCGCGUAGGCGGCCCGGUAAGUCUGGAGUGAAAGUCCUGUUUUUAAGAUGGGAAUUGCUUUGGAUACUGUCGGGCUUGAGUGCAGGAGAGGUAAGUGGAAUUCCCAGUGUAGCGGUGAAAUGCGUAGAGAUUGGGAGGAACACCAGCGGCGAAGGCGACUUACUGGACUGUAACUGACGCUGAGGCGCGAAAGUGUGGGGAGCAAACAGGAUUAGAUACCCUGGUAGUCCACACUGUAAACGAUGAAUGCUAGGUGUAGGGGGUAUCGACCCCUUCUGUGCCGCAGUCAACACAAUAGGCAUUCCGCCUGGGGAGUACGGCCGCAAGGUUGAAACUCAAAUGAAUUGACGGGG
Molecule: ribosomal RNA, 397 nt
Filed under: uncultured bacterium
Lineage: Bacteria
Description: partial 16S ribosomal RNA
Rfam family: Bacterial small subunit ribosomal RNA
Source: RNAcentral